GACGAACGCUGGCGGCGUGCUUAACCCAUGCAAGUCGAACGGAAAGGCCCUUCUUUUGUGGGGUGCUCGAGUGGCGAACGGGUGAGUAACACGUGAGUAACCUUCCCUUGACUUUUGGAUAACUUCCGGAAACUGGGGCUAAUACCGGAUAGGGGCUCCUGCUGCAUGGUGGGGGUUUGAAAGUUUCGGCGGUUGGGGAUGGACUCGCGGCUUAUCAGCUUGUUGGUGGGGUAGUGGCUUACCAAGGCUUUGACGGGUAGCCGGCCUGAGAGGGUGACCGGCCACAUUGGGACUGAGAUACGGCCCAGACUCCUACGGGAGGCAGCAGUGGGGAAUAUUGCACAAUGGGCGGAAGCCUGAUGCAGCAACGCCGCGUGCGGGAUGACGGCCUUCGGGUUGUAAACCGCUUUCGCCUGUGACGAAGCGUGAGUGACGGUAAUGGGUAAAGAAGCACCGGCUAACUACGUG
This 468-nucleotide ribosomal RNA is filed under the name uncultured bacterium. Its description in RNAcentral is "partial 16S ribosomal RNA". It matches the Rfam family "Bacterial small subunit ribosomal RNA", at positions 28 to 507 of the family's 1533-position model. The record is from RNAcentral.